Molecule: long non-coding RNA, 4127 nt
Organism: Onychostoma macrolepis
Lineage: Eukaryota; Metazoa; Chordata; Actinopteri; Cypriniformes; Cyprinidae
Exons: 6
Source: RefSeq, a predicted model, not a curated record
UAUGCUUUAUAUCUACUAACUAAACUAAACGAAAUAAUACCUUUCAUAACUAAUUAAGUAACUAAGCCAUAAUAUAAUAAAUACAUACAUCUAUUUCAUAUUAAGCAUAGAUUAAUCCUUUUAAAGUAAUUAAUUUUAUUCGAGACAAAAUAUUAUCCGGGUGUUUUUCAAAAACCGCGCGCAUUUUUCCAUCAGUCACGUCCGCUCAUCCCUCACUCAGUCACGGCCCACGGGAGGAUCACAGCCGGACAGCUCGCGACCCGGUCACGGAGAAUAACAGCUGGACACACAAACCCGCAAAUUAUAUAUUUAAACUAACGUUAGAGAGACGGCGACAGAGCAUGUUCCUCAUCUCUAACCGUCACUCGCGCCACAGAUCUGAAGCAAGGAACAAUAAUGACAUCAGUCAUUCAAGCUAGGAUCCUGGCAGAUCUACUAUUAUCUGAAAAUAAGGCACACCAAGAAAAAGGGAGCCUGAUCAGGUACAGAAGGCAGCUGUCUCCAUCUUUGCUGUUAAGGAGGAAGAGGGAACAUUGUCUUUAAACCCAUUGGAUGUUUUGAUUGUAUUUGAAGAUGAUGACUGCCAAGUCUUGGGUCAGUGUACUGGUGCUUUUUUUUUUUUUAACUAAAGUAUUACAGUAUACAAACUACCUUGUUUGUGUGGUCGUUACUUAUUUGGUGAAAAGUCUGAUAAGAUAGCUUAAAUGUUAUAUUUUUGAAUAUACAGCCCACUGAUUUUGUUUUAUGCUUGAAAACAUUUGUUGUAUUUCAAUAAAUACUUGAGGAAACACUCCUGUUCUGUCAUGAUUUCUUUGUACCAGUGUUUUUGCUUCUUAUGUAACUUUAUUGCUUUGAGUUUGAACUUAAACCAUUUAAGGCAAUCGGUUUCCUCAAACCAUUUAAGUAGCAAAGUGGUUAAUUUUAAGUUGUAAAGACUUAGUCAGUUUGAAUUCAGGUAACAUUCUAACUGAGUGGAAUAAACUUAAAAUGUUCAAGUUCAGUUUACUCUAAUAAUUGGCUAAGCCAACACUAAAAAAGAAGUAAAUUUAACUCGAUGUAAAUGAGUUAUGGUACUCAUAUUUAUUAGUUUUAAAACUUAAAUGGUUUAAGGCAAUCGGUUUCCUCAAACGGUUUGAGUUACCGUAACUUGCCGGGUUUUACAGUGUUGUAAUGUCAUUUGUGAUUCAUUUUUUCAGCAGGGUUGCCUCAUUGUUUUUAUAUAAUUCAUUUUAAAGGCUGUUGUUGGCUUAGGUUUGUUUUUAUAACCACAAUAUUAUCUUAAUAGCCUACUUUGUAUAUUAUUAUUAUUUGAAGUAACAAAACCAUGGUUAAUUUGCAGUUCCCAUGGCUACAAGAACCAUGUUUUUUAUUAUUAUUAUUUUUAUUAUUAUUAUUCGUGUUAAAACCAUGGCUAACUUUUGUAAGUGAACAUGGAAACGCUGAGAGAAUAUUAGACGCGUUGGUGGUGGUGAAAUUAUUACCGACAUUAAAACACGUUAUUGACCUGACAUAAACACCCAAAAAAGUUUCACAGGAUUUUGAAUGUAGCCUACCUGAAAGUGAAGCAUGGGCUUUGUUUUCAUCCUUUUUUAACUUCUCUUGGCGCCAGAGUGCUGAUGUCUUUUCACGGGCAUAGUUAUCUAUCAAUUGACCUUAUGCACAGUUACUUCCUGGUUGUAGAUAAGCCAGCUCAGCCAUUUCCGGUCAAGUGUACUGUGCCGUAAGAAGAGCGUCCUUUACUCGGUUUCUCUACAUAAUCCAUUCACAUUUAGGAGAAAAGUUUUGUUUGUCUAAGAUGACCAAACUUCCACAUAUUCCGUUUCAGGAAUGACAAAAUGCGAAUGUUAAACUUACGCGAGGGAAUCCGUUAAAUCAUGCAGCGAGUAAUUAUGUUUGACAGCGGCAACGGAAUGAAUCACCUGACGAUCCGAUGUCAAAAUAAAGCUGUGCAUUAAGUGAUUCAGACUAAAUUCAGACUAACAAAACUACAGGUCUGUGUUGGAUAAAACUUAAACGAUGUAGCCUAGUUAUUUAAAUUAAAUCUAAACAUUUCAAAAUACUGAAUGCAUUAUUUGUUUGUUAUACCAACUUACUUAAUUUGUAUUUGAAUGUGAAUUUGUGACUUCCUGCACUUGCUAUAGCCUACUUUAUACUUCAGUGCGACAAAGUACUAAAUUUGUUAUAAUAUUUAUUUUAUAAUAAAUCAAAAGACGUGAAAAACUAAGUUGAAAUGGCAGCUGCAGCCAAUGAGUGAUCCUAUACUGCCAUCUUUUGGUUAUAACGGUAAUUUCAUUUUCAUCUUAAAAAGUCUAUUUUUCGCCGAGACACGUUUUUAACAUAUUUCUUCAUGUUGUCUUCAUGAAUGAAAACGGAACCUUUAAUAAUGGGAAUUUUACCACACAGAGUUGAGAAACAAUAAAUGGGUUAAAAUUUUAUAAGAUUUUAAAAAUGUGUUCAUGGCUUUGAAGGUAAAAUAUUGAUUAAUCGAGAAUACCAUUACGUCGUUUAAGAGAUUAACCUAACUGCCUAAACAGUUAUGAUAGUGUUUAUUUGUCUGUAUGUUAAUUCCACAAUCAUUAUUUACAAUGUUGCAAUUAUUUAGUUUUUCAGUUUCUGAUAAGAAUGAGGCAGGAGAUGUUUCUGUGAGAGUCUCUACCUAUCUAUAGCACAUAUAAAAUGAGCUUCACCGGAAGAUUAAGAGCUGGUUUAUCUUUAUCCGGAAGUUCUAAAUAGAGCUCUGUGCAUAUGGUCAAUUAUGAUCAUUUGCUUUCAGCCGCAAACAUGAGGUGUGAGCGGUCGCGGGAAUGGCGCAUCACUCUCUUUUUUUUUGAGCAACUGGGAUGGUGCCCCCCUGGGAGUUGGUGCCCUACGCAAACUGCGUAACGUUACUCUGCGUAUAGGCAAAAUCAGUCAAAUCGCCGUCAGACAGCCGUUAUAAACAUGAAUUCAAACCAAGAAGAACAAAGAGAGAAGCAGCUGAUGGAGAUGUUUCCAUUUUUUCUGUGGAUAACUGUGAGUAUUUGGUGUUUGCAGUUAUAGUAUAGUGAAAUAUAAAUAUUUGUUUUGCUGAAGUAAUUGUAUAUUAUUCAAAACACGCUGUAUUUGGUUGUUGUAGAUGUUUAUCUAUCCCAGAGAGCACUGUUAAAGUUUUAGCUCCACCUUAUCAGAGCUGAAAAGAGGAAGUCAGAGGAAACAUGACCAACCUGCUGCAAAACAAUAACACAAAAGGUCUGGACUCUGGCGUGCAGCAUUACUUGUUUGGUCAUCUACAUUCAGAUGAAAACACCACACUUCUCCCUAAUUCAAGAUGUCAAGCCUACUCAUCGCAAGGAGAGUUAGCAUCAAAAUGGACGUGUCACUGACCAAUAACACAGAGAUGCCAGAAGUAUCUGUUUGCAGUCUACUUUUUGUUCAGUAUGGAGCAUCCAAAAUCCAUCACUCAGUUAAUUUCAAUCAUUACUAUUUAGCCCUUCCCAGUGCUGAAAUUGUCCUGGGUCCUUUGUUUUUAUUGUUUAAAUGCUUAUCUGAAUGUAAAAUUUAUAUUUAAUGCUUAUAAAUAAAUAAAAAAAACAAUACUAUGGUUAGUCUUUUAGCUCCCUUUUCAGAAAUAUGUGGUUCACCAUUUUUCAUGGGUUACAGAACUGGGGAAAGUUGCAGCAUACAAAAAAAAAGUCAAACUACUUGGUUUAUGGGUUUAUAGGAGAAUGUGGAGUAAAUACUUGACAUUUAUUUAAGGUAAAGGGUAAUGACCUGGUGGUGAGAUGCAAAAUAAGAUUGUCAUUAAUAUACUAUUUGAUGACAAACUUCACAUUCUAAUUCUACUUAUGUAUUUAAUUUUUUUAAGUUAACUUUAUUUAUUUGUGCAAGUUAACAUUCAAUUAUUAUUUAUUUAUUUUUGGUGGUGGUUUCUAGCAAUCAACAUAUUUGUGACUGACAUGUUGGAUGGGUGAGUUAGGUGGAGGGGGUUGAAAAAAACAAUAUUUCUAAAAUGGAGAGUGCUAUUUUAGGUUGACAGGUAAAAAUAUAUAUAUUUUUUAAAGUAUAAAUAAAGAAGCAUGGAUUUAUGUUAAUCCCUGUAACUGUUGCACUAUGAAUUGCUAUGUUAUAUAUUGCUUGUCAUUGUAAAU